UGAAUACGAGACGCUAAGGCGUUGAAGUAGUGUAUGUCAUACUUCCAAGAAAAGCUUGCACUGUCAUAGAUAAAAAACGCCUGUACCAUAACCGACACAGGUGGGUAGGUAGAGUAUACUAAGGGGCGCGAGAUAACUCUCUCUAAGGAACUCGGCAAAAUAACUCCGUAACUUCGGGAGAAGGAGUGCCUUAUUUAUAAGGCUGCAAUAACAAGAUCCAAGCAACUGUUUAUCAAAAACACAGGUCUCCGCUAAGUCGUAAGACGAUGUAUGGGGGCUGACGCCUGCCCAGUGCCAGAAGGUUAAAGAAGUUGGUUAGCAAUAGCGAAGCUGAUAACUGAAGCCCUGGUGAACGGCGGCCGUAACUAUAACGGUCCUAAGGUAGCGAAAUUCCUUGUCGGGUAAGUUCCGACCCGCACGAAAGGCGUAAUGAUUUGGAUACUGUCUCGGAGAGGGGCUCGGUGAAAUAGACUUGUCUGCGAAGAUGCGGACUACCUGCACCAGGACAGAAAGACCCUAUGAAGCUUUACUGUAACUUGAAAUUGAAAUUGGACUUUAUUCGCGCAGUAUAGGUGGGAGGCGUUGAUUGUAAUCUUGCGGGAUUAUUGGAGCCAUCAGUGAGAUACCACCCUUGUAAUGUUAGAUUUCUAACUUUGAAUCAUUAUCUGGUCAAAGAACAGUUUCAGGCGGGCAGUUUGACUGGGGCGGUCGCCUCCUAAACGGUAACGGAGGCGUACAAAGGUUUCCUCUGAACGGUUAGAAAUCGUAUCUAGAGUGUAAAGGCAUAAGGAAGCUUGACUGUGAGACCUACAAGUCGAGCAGGGACGAAAGUCGGUCUUAGUGAUCUGACGGUACUGAGUGGAAAGGCCGUCACUCAACGGAUAAAAGUUACUCUAGGGAUAACAGGCUGAUCUCCCCCAAGAGUUCACAUCGACGGGGAGGUUUGGCACCUCGAUGUCGGCUCAUCGCAUCCUGGGGCGGUAGUACGUCCCAAGGGUUGGGCUGUUCGCCCAUGAAAGCGGUACGCGAGCUGGGUUCAGAACGUCGUGAGACAGUUCGGUCCAUAUCCGGUGCAGGCGUUAGAAUAUUGAGAGGAGCCUUCUUUAGUACGAGAGGACCGAGAAGGACAUACCUCUGGUGUACCAGUUAUCGUGCCAACGGUAAACGCUGGGUAGCUAUGUAUGGAGUGGAUAACCGCUGAAAGCAUCUAAGUGGGAAGCCCACCUCAAGAUAAGUAUUCU
This 1241-nucleotide ribosomal RNA is filed under the name metagenome. Its description in RNAcentral is "bacterial LSU rRNA". It matches the Rfam family "Bacterial large subunit ribosomal RNA", at positions 1564 to 2814 of the family's 2925-position model. The record is from RNAcentral.